AGCAGGGGGCAAACAACAGAAGUCACAUGGGAAUGGGGACGGCAGCAAUUUCUGCUCCUGCAAACCUCAGGGCCAAGAACUUGCCAGCUUGCAUGGGAAGAAGAUGGGAGGCAGGAGUGGGGCAAGCAGAGCCCGUGCAUCCAGAGGGGUGCCGUGGACACACUGUGGACGAGUGGAGGCUGACUGUGGGGGUUGUUCAGCCUCAGCUACCCAUGGAUGGUAUGAGAAGCAGGAAGCUGGGGGAGCCCUCCACUUGGCCAGCCCCAAACUGGGAGCAAUAGCAGGCAGACACGGGUGCGAGGGAGGCCUUUCCAGCAAGGAGAAAGCUUCCAGCUCUCUGCUGUGAGGCUUCCCCCAAGGGAAGAGCAAGAAGCUGUAACCCUGGGUGUAAGUCCCUAAACUCAUUAGCUACUGGGCAAUGAAUGAUGUGUUGUAAGGGGCGAGCAGUGACUUGUGUUGGUGCAGAGGCAGACAAUCUUGGUGAUGGGAGAGCUGGGGACUGCAUGAAGGACAUGACGCAGCCCAGGGAACCGCUGCCCACCCCAGGCAGCACCCUGGUGCUAUGGGGCUCGAGCUGGUCACCCAAGGGACUGGGAAGGAAUGAGUCUCCAUCUACCUCUGUCUGCUGUGGGGGGCAACAGGCAAGUGAGGAGGGGAGGGUUCAGUAGUGGAGUUUGUUGGAGAGAAGCGUCAUUCCCCUGUCUGCACCACGUAAACGAGAGCAUGUUUUUCACUACGGGACAAUACAUGCAGGGACAGAGAAAGAAAUGUUUCAAAAAAGAAAGAAGGAAAAGGGGGAGGGGGGAAAUGAAUCGAUAUAACAGAAGCAUUAGGGCACUCAGGGGAGUGUUUUAGUGGGGCCAUUAAUAUACUUCUCAGGUGGUAAAAGCCACUUAGCCUUUAAAAAUGAUAAUGAAAUGUUAACUACCCAAAGCAUUAUUGCUGAGUCACAGAGAGCAGGCAGCCCUCUGGCUCCCACCCGACCCUGGGGUGCUGUAAUGGCCCUGUGUGCCCCACCUCCUGCAAUGGAACCCCACGGCCCCACUGCCCCCAGCUCACACAGUGUGUGCCACUUCCAGGACCCUGCGUGGGAAUGGUCAGCCACAGGGAGCAGGGAGGACCCGCAUCCCAAAAUGCGGAGCUCAGGGAUGAGGUGUGCAGGACAUCAGGAAUGUUGGUUCCCAGGAGAUGGGGACAGACAGGAGCGGAGGACUCACGCAUUUCCAUCCUGCACUGCACACAGCACUGGUGGAUGCUGGUACCUGGACCUACAUGCCCUGUUAGCACCAGGGCAGCACACGCUGCUGUGCACCCUCACCCUGACCGCCAAGCUGAGCUUUGGGGGCACUGGGACCCUCUGGUGGCCAAACAGCUCUGAGAACCACAGGGGCCGAAUUCGGGCCGUGUUCUUGUCAAGGAGGGCUUCUGCGCUGCGCAAGGAGCGGGGAUUCUCAUUUCUCAUCUUUUAUGUAUCACUGACUCUUAUUUGAUUGUGAAGGGCCCAAACAGCCCCCUGCAGUGUCACACGAAGAAACCCAACAGGUCUGCAUGGUCCAGCGAGCCCAAGUGUGAGAUGAAGGACUUCUCCUAGGACGAGUCAGUGCCCAAGCAGAAAAUUAAUUUCAUUCCAUCCAUCUGUGUAUGACCCCAAACCAUCCCCAGUCAGGGAGAUUAUGGAGUUUUUCCAUGAAUGCAGAUUCGCACUCAGAGGCAGCUGUGCAGGAUGCUGGUGAGGGGACAGGGAGCAGCUUGGCUCCUGGUGGCACCUGCGCCCAUUUCAGGCACCACUGAGAGACCAUUGUUGGGAAAUCGUUUGGUUGAGUUUUCAGCUCUGUCAGGGAGUGCUGGGCAACACGAAGCAUGCAGGUGGGCUUCUUUACCUCCGAGCCCCAUGCACACAGCUUUGAAAGUAGUGCCUCUUAUUUAUUUACAUGGAAACUACAGCAGGUACAAAGAGCACAACAACACCAUUUGAUGGAGCAAAUUCUCAGCUACCAGACACUGUUUUUCAACACAGGCACCAUCACAGCUACGCGGUUUUGCCAGCAAUGAACAAGAGCCUGCAUGCCACACUCCGCACGUAGGCUCUGCACCAGCAGAGGUGGCCCACUGUCACAGCCACUGACUCGCACCAGCCUCACCCUGCUCACAUGCACCGUCGUCUCCAUCAGCGUUCACAAGCGCUGAUGAAUGCCAGCGGGUCCCAUUUUUCUGCACGGAGGCAUCCAACUCCACACCUUCGCUCCACUUCGGCGUCAGACGCCGUUUUGUCAGACCUCCCCUCUGCCGCCAUCAGCCACGCGGCGACGAAACGGAACGGGAUGCUGGUGGAAGGUCCGAGCCGCACCGCCAUCCCAGCACCAUCCGGCUCUGAGGGUGCGGGCCGGCGUCACAAAACAGGAGGCGUUACUUUUGGAGCAGCCCCGACAGACGGCAGCACGGCGGCGGGGGGCUGGAGCUGCGCCGUCCCGCUGCUCCUCCGCCGCCUCGGCCCCGCGCUCUGCCCCCUGCCCAGCUCCCUGCGGUGCAGCCGGCCGCAGGUUCAGCACAAGGGCGCGGGAAGGACGUUUCCUUCCGGAGCACCAUUCUGGAAACUAACGGACGCGGAGGGUUUUCCGCCCGCCGAGGCAGCGGUUCUCGAGCCGCGGGUCGCGGCGCGCCCGGGGCCGGGCGGAGCUGCUAACAGGGGCUGCAGGUAAAGCACCUCGGUGCAGGAGAGCUGCGCGGCUCUGAACUUCUCUGCUGCCCGCCUGAACCCGGGGAAGGAGGAGAAGGGAUACUGUGUGCACUCGAGCAGAAUCGGAGAAGAUGCCAAGAGAGGAGAGAAGCAGAUGGAAAAGGCAGAGAAAGCUCAAGAUGAGGAGAGAGCAGGAAGGAAGGAGCAGAGGAAGGAUAAAGCAAGAGGGAGGUGAGAAAAGAGCUGGAGCUGGGAUGCCACAAAGCAGUGGCCAAGGCAGCAAGAGAACUGCAUCUUCUCUUUCUUGUCCUACAAACCAGACACAGACGUGGCAGCAGCUAAUCUUCCUGGCUCGUGAACAAAAGGAUUCUUUUCAUGCCAGUAAUCCAAGAGCUGCCAUGCCACGGCUCUCCCAGCUCAUCUGCUGUGAAUGCACUUAUGUGGCGUCCAACUGAACGGGUUAGCAAAAUAAAGACAGAUGGCACUGGA
This is a non-coding RNA of Phasianus colchicus (ring-necked pheasant), 3166 nucleotides long. Lineage: Eukaryota; Metazoa; Chordata; Aves; Galliformes; Phasianidae. The record is from RefSeq and is a predicted model, not a curated record.